RNAcentral lists this ribosomal RNA (148 nucleotides) under uncultured bacterium. RNAcentral's name for it is "partial 16S ribosomal RNA". It matches the Rfam family "Bacterial small subunit ribosomal RNA", at positions 383 to 524 of the family's 1533-position model. The record is from RNAcentral.
CUGACGAGCACGCCGCGUGAGUGAAGAAGGUUCUUCGGAUCGUAAAACUCUGUUGUUAGAGAAGAACAAGGAUGAGAGUAACUGUUCAUCCCUUGACGGUAUCUAACCAGAAAGCCACGGCUAACUACGUGCCAGCAGCCGCGGUAAU